Ribosomal RNA from Cricetulus griseus (Chinese hamster), 106 nucleotides. The record is from Ensembl. NCBI's taxonomy places the organism in Eukaryota, Metazoa, Chordata, Mammalia, Rodentia, Cricetidae.
GUUUAUGGCUAUAUCACCACAUCUUCCAUAUAUUUCUUCUGAAUGAAGUAGAGCCUAAUUAGUACUUGUAUGGGAGACUGCCUGCAAUAACUAGAUACUGUAUGCU